UACGUAGGGUGCGAGCGUUAAUCGGAAUGACUGGGCGUAAAGCGUGCGCAGGCGGUUUUGUAAGCCAGAUGUGAAAUCCCCGGGCUUAACCUGGGAAUGGCAUUUGGGACUGCAAGGCUUGAGUGCGGCAGAGGAGACUGGAAUUCCUGGUGUAGCAGUGAAAUGCGUAGAUAUCAGGAGGAACACCGAUGGCGAAGGCAGGUCUCUGGGCUGACACUGACGCUCAUGCACGAAAGCGUGGGGAGCAAACAGG
RNAcentral lists this ribosomal RNA (253 nucleotides) under uncultured bacterium. RNAcentral describes it as "partial 16S ribosomal RNA". It matches the Rfam family "Bacterial small subunit ribosomal RNA", at positions 524 to 776 of the family's 1533-position model. The record is from RNAcentral.